UGGUUUCUCUUCAGAUCGCAUAAAUCUUUCGCCUUUUACUAAAGAUUUCCGUGGAGAGGAACAAUUCUGAGUUUUGUAUCAAUUUUUUGAGGCCUUGUGUUUGCAAGUUUAACAAGUGGUGUUAAAAAGUAGACUGAGGUUUCACAAGUGGUUGUGCGGUUCACUGGUUAGUACUGAGAAGAUGAGACUAAAUAUAAAGCUGCUCCUUAUUAGUCUUUAUUUAGACACUAAGCUGCCAAAUGAAACGGGGCAGGGGCAGAGUUUGCAAACUGGUUGCACGAGGGACAGUGCGUGUUUCUAAUCUGACUUGUCAUUUACCCACGGAAAGGGGUCCCCGCGGAGCUCCCGGACGCCCGGUGCAACAGCGCUGCUGUAAGAAACGAAAACGAGGUCACGAAGUCCAGAGUCUUGUACGAAAAAUGUUUACAGGUUGGAGAUCACCAACCGGCGAACGCGCUCCCGGGCGUCGCGUGGGUGGGGCCUGGCUCCGACAUUGGCUACGUACAGAACCUGCUGCGCUGACCUUAGAUAAAACUUCUUAAAUUUAUUUGAAGAUGAUUCUUAGGCAUAUCUACCCACAAACAUUUUUCAAGGAGGUACAUACCAGGCGAGUCCUAGCACCUUUCCAACUCUGAUAAGUGUUGCACGUAUUGGCAGCCAAGCUGAGGAUGGAAGCCCGUCUACCAGAAGCAAGAGAUGCAUCCUAGUGAAGUCACUUGAGUCUGGAUCAAGCCAUUCCUGAAGCUCCUACUGCACUACACUACAUCGUUAUGUGAAUCAGUACUUUACCUUUUGUUUAAGCCAGUUAUAAUUAAGCUUUCUGUCACUUGCAACCCCUGAAGUCUUAUUUGAAAC
This is a long non-coding RNA of Myotis brandtii (Brandt's bat), 855 nucleotides long. RefSeq lists it as uncharacterized. The transcript is spliced from 3 exons. The record is from RefSeq and is a predicted model, not a curated record. NCBI's taxonomy places the organism in Eukaryota, Metazoa, Chordata, Mammalia, Chiroptera, Vespertilionidae.